RNAcentral lists this ribosomal RNA (507 nucleotides) under uncultured fungus. RNAcentral describes it as "eukaryotic LSU rRNA". The stretch from base 148 to 303 matches the Rfam family "5.8S ribosomal RNA". The record is from RNAcentral. Lineage: Eukaryota; Fungi.
UCCGUAGGUGAACCUGCGGAAGGAUCAUUCACGCAAACAAUUUACCACGUCGACCGUCACCUUCUGCGGAAGGUGGCACAUCUCAUACGUUAUUGGAAGCCGUUACGAGACUACUCCGGCUCCUCUAUUAUAGCAAACCUAAUCAUAAGCUCAUGACGAUUGAUGCCUUGGUUCGGAAAUCGAUGAAGGACGCAGCAAAGUGCGAUAAGCACUGUGACUUGCAGAAUUCAGCGAAUCAGCAGAUUUCUCAACGCAAAAGGUGCUAGGUAGACUUGUCUGCCUGGCAGGCACAAUUCAACGUCGUUCUAUUUGCAGUCAUGAAUUUUUGAGAGUUCGCUCAAUAAAAUCCUUGGCGCGCAUUUUUGUCAGGAUCAGAAAUGUGACUGACGGGUGAUCCGCUACCGUAAAUUGGCGGAUGGAUAUAACCCGCAUUACUUACUUGUAUUUAAUGCUUAGGGGAACAACCACCAUCGACUUGAAUUGUGCCAGACUACCCGCUGAAUUUAA